RNAcentral lists this ribosomal RNA (465 nucleotides) under Vreelandella stevensii. RNAcentral's name for it is "partial 16S ribosomal RNA". It matches the Rfam family "Bacterial small subunit ribosomal RNA", at positions 338 to 795 of the family's 1533-position model. The record is from RNAcentral. Lineage: Bacteria; Pseudomonadati; Pseudomonadota; Gammaproteobacteria; Oceanospirillales; Halomonadaceae.
CCUACGGGAGGCUGCAGUGGGGAAUAUUGGACAAUGGGGGCAACCCUGAUCCAGCCAUGCCGCGUGUGUGAAGAAGGCCCUCGGGUUGUAAAGCACUUUCAGUGAGGAAGAACGCCUGGUGGUUAAUACCCAUCAGGAAAGACAUCACUCACAGAAGAAGCACCGGCUAACUCCGUGCCAGCAGCCGCGGUAAUAUGGAGGGUGCGAGCGUUAAUCGGAAUUACUGGGCGUAAAGCGCGCGUAGGUGGCUUGAUAAGCCGGUUGUGAAAGCCCCGGGCUCAACCUGGGAACGGCAUCCGGAACUGUCAAGCUAGAGUGCAGGAGAGGAAGGUAGAAUUCCCGGUGUAGCGGUGAAAUGCGUAGAGAUCGGGAGGAAUACCAGUGGCGAAGGCGGCCUUCUGGACUGACACUGACACUGAGGUGCGAAAGCGUGGGUAGCAAACAGGAUUAGAUACCCUUGUAGUC